This 429-nucleotide ribosomal RNA is filed under the name Salmonella enterica subsp. enterica serovar Typhimurium. RNAcentral's name for it is "partial 23S ribosomal RNA". It matches the Rfam family "Bacterial large subunit ribosomal RNA", at positions 1292 to 1721 of the family's 2925-position model. Lineage: Bacteria; Pseudomonadati; Pseudomonadota; Gammaproteobacteria; Enterobacterales; Enterobacteriaceae. The record is from RNAcentral.
GAAUGCUGACAUAAGUAACGAUAAAGCGGGUGAAAAGCCCGCUCGCCGGAAGACCAAGGGUUCCUGUCCAACGUUAAUCGGGGCAGGGUGAGUCGACCCCUAAGGCGAGGCCGAAAGGCGUAGUCGAUGGGAAACGGGUUAAUAUUCCCGUACUUGGUGUUACUGCGAAGGGGGGACGGAGAAGGCUAUGUUGGCCGGGCGACGGUUGUCCCGGUUUAAGCGUGUAGGUGUGUGUUCCAGGUAAAUCCGGUUCACUUUAACACUGAGGCGUGACGACGAGGCACUACGGUGCUGAAGCAACAAAUGCCCUGCUUCCAGGAAAAGCCUCUAAGCAUCAGGUAACACGAAAUCGUACCCCAAACCGACACAGGUGGUCAGGUAGAGAAUACCAAGGCGCUUGAGAGAACUCGGGUGAAGGAACUAGGCAAA